Ipomoea nil (Japanese morning glory) is the source of this 117-nucleotide long non-coding RNA. RefSeq lists it as uncharacterized. The transcript is spliced from 3 exons. The record is from RefSeq and is a predicted model, not a curated record. Lineage: Eukaryota; Viridiplantae; Streptophyta; Magnoliopsida; Solanales; Convolvulaceae.
AUUCAAUUUGUAUCACAUUUGGUCCUUGACUAUUAACAUUUUCAAAUUAAGUGCAUGACUAUUCAACUUGUAUCAUAUUUGGUCCUGCCGUUAAAUUUUUCGGCGAAGUAAUCGGGG